This is a long non-coding RNA of Ailuropoda melanoleuca (giant panda), 3343 nucleotides long. RefSeq lists it as uncharacterized. Lineage: Eukaryota; Metazoa; Chordata; Mammalia; Carnivora; Ursidae. The record is from RefSeq and is a predicted model, not a curated record. The transcript has 2 exons.
CAACCCGACGGACUUUUUCCGACGUUAUCUCACGGGAUGUGCUGGAGAUCUGCAAGGGAAGAACUCAUGCUCAUUUACCGAUGGGGACGCUGAGGCCCACAUGUUUGCCUGCCUUGGCCGGGUGCCUCCUCCUGCUAAGGGCACGACCAGCCCACAGGAGGCUGGGUGGGGCUGUGUCAGGACAGCUGGGUGGGGACAGGGCUCCCGCCCAUCCUGUGGUCUGGGCUAGGGGCAGCUCUGCCACCCUGCCAGCUGGGCUGUGACGAACCUACACCUCGCUGGGCAGCCUGGGUGUCCUGGCGGGAGCGGCAGCCCCAGGGAGGCCCAGGGGCCAGCCCGGGCCACCCACCCUCCUCUGCUCGAGCCGUGUGUCCCAGCCCAGCUUGCAUGCAAUGCCGCCAGGGUCCGUCCUGCUCUGACCUGUUUUCCUGGCUGGGGCUGUCAGGGUUGGGCUGGACUCACUCGGGUGUCCUGCCAAGGCAGAGGUGGCCACGGGGUCAGAGGCUGCGUCCUCUGCCCUCCCCGCCCUUCCUUGGCUGAGAAGUCUUUCUCCUCCCGGCUCAUCUCGUCGAGCUCCCACCCGUCUGCCACAGCCCUGCUGAAUGGCACCCCCAGAAGAAGCUGGUCCAGCCCUUGUGCCCCCGCUGGGUUGUCGUCAUGGGUUUAGCCAUCUCGCUGGUCAUCCUGGCCGCAUAUAGCACAGCCCUGUCCAGGGAGGCUCGACCACCACUUUUCCUGGUGCUUGUGAUCACUUUAAACCAGGGCCAGGGAGGGCACGGGGGCCUAGACUCAAGCGUGUGUCAGGCAGAGGGAGAAGGAGCUAUAGACUUAUCCCCUUGGCGGGGGUUGGGGGGCACCCGACGACACGUAAAACCAGCCAGGACACACACUUUCUUGUAAUCACGAGCGGCCCUUGUUAAUGCGCCCCUGGGCCCUGCCGAUUGUACCAGAGGGAGCGUGAGGAUCUGGGAAACACACCCCUGGGUGGGGGGCAGGAACUCCAGGUGGGCUGAGCAGGCAGCACAGGGACAGUCCAAGGCUGAGGUGGCCCCAGUCUAGGCACUGGGGUCCCUGAGGUUGGAGUGUCCUGUAUGUGUCUCUGUGUCUCUGGAUGGGAUGCCAACGGCGGUGUCUGGCCAGCAAGUCCCAGGCCAGUCCCUCUGUGCAGGAACCUCCCAUCGGCCACUUCUCAUGCUCAUCCAGGCCUGUCAGCAGAUCGGGCUCACCUGGCCAGCCGGCCCAAGGCGGAGACACCCAGGGGGCCUAGCUGGGAAGGUAGGUCUUUCGUUUUUAGAAUCUGUCUCCGAAUAUAAAAAUGAUACUUGUCUGUUGUCAAAAUAUAGCUGGAAAAGCUAGAAAGACAACAAACUUAUACCAAACAUCACAAUCACCCCAUCAGGCUCAGCAAACCUCAUUAGUAUGUUGGGGAACAGUCCCCUGGGGGGGUUUCUGUACACGGUUUGACCUGCGGGGAUCAAGCUGUACCUGGGAGUUUGUGUUUGGCUCUUUUAACUUAACAUAUGUGUUAUGAUCUAAAAUCAUAUUUACUGUUUCUUUCUGAUUACAAAAUCAUUAUUUGCUCAUUGUAAAAACAAACAAUGACAGAAAUGUGAGAGAGACAGUCCAGGGGAAAAAGAAGGUGAAAAUCCCCCACAUGCCCCAAUCCAGAGGUGACGACCACAGACAUCCCUGUGGAUGGCUGUGUAAACAGCCCCAUGAGUGUAGACCAGCAAAGGCAUUAAGAACACAGGCUUCAGGGUCAGGCGGGCUGGUUCAAGUCCUGCCUCCACGGGCCACACCCGAGCUGACUUCUCAGGGCCCAGGCUUUCUCUAAAACAGAAUUGACCCGUGGGGCCUACCCCCAUAGAGUUGCUGGAGAAAUUAAUGAAUGAAGGAAAAACAUUGGCAUAAAUGAGUUAAUCCAGGUACAGUGCUUCAAAGGGUACCCAGUAAGCGCUCAAUAAAUGUCAGAUUGUGAGCAAACACCGCACAGAAUCGACAAUGGUGCCCUGGCCAGGCACUGGGGCAGGGCCUCACCUCUAUAACCACCCAGCCGCCUAGCAACCCCACGAGGUAUGUCCUUUCCUUGUCCCCAUUUUGCAGACGUGACAAGUGAAGCUGACUUAGGUCGAGUGCCUUAACAACACACGCACAAGGGCCCAGAGGUGGAAACAGCCCACGUAGCCGCGGCUAGAACAAUAAAUAAACGCAAUGCGGUCUACCCGGCGGGGGAAGAUAACUCAGCCACCGCGAGGGAGGGAUGUGGAUGAACGUAGAACACAACCCUUUCCUCAUCAAGGUUUGCACCCAUCCCCAGGACGCCGCCUCCCAGAAGUGGAAUCACGGGGUCAAAGCUGCCGCAUGACAUAUCUGGGGACAGCCCUGGCCCAUGUGAAUACCUGGGUGGGCGGGAGCACUGGCCAGCGGCCUGAAUGUGGAGAGACUGGUCAGUGCAGUGGGUCUGGCCCUGCAGCCCCGCGGGCGGAGGGCGCUGCUGCCCUUUGGCCUGUACUUUCAGGUUAAGCCUCUGCUUUCGACACCGGCCUCCGGCUUGCCAGGGCUAUAUUUAUCCUCCCAGAAGCCAGGACUUGAGGACAGUGUGGCCUCCCACGGGCCCUGGAGCUUGCCACGGCGCUUCACGGCAUGGAAUUGCCUCUGGCCACCACGUGGCCUUAGCACCCUGCCUCGAUGUUCUGAGCUGCAGUUUCCCGGUCUGGAAACCAAGGACACGGGAACUCAACCACAGGGAAAUUCCGGCGGGAGCCAGGCACACUGGCACCAAAGCGGUGGGAAAUGUCUCUUCCCGUGCUCCCUGCGACUCUGCAGGCUUCUGGUGCUUGAUCCGGGAAAGCUGACUGUGGACGUAGAAGGAGAUGUUGUUAGCAAACAGCGUCAGUGAGCACCUAGUAAACACGCGACAAGCGGGAGUUGUUGUGACUGUUGAUUUGGGCUCCUGUGCUUUGCCCACAUGGGUUUCCAUGCACAGAGAACAUUUCUGGAAGGCCACUCGAGAUCCUGUGGACAAUAGUUAGUUCCUUCUGGGGAUGAGCCAGGGACCCUUUUCACUUAUUACCUUUCUGUUCUCUUCAAAAUUUUCACCAGGAGCAUGUAUGACUUUUAUAACAAAGCAGUUCACAAUAAAACUAUACUCUGAAAUAAAAAAGCAUGAGUUAUUACGACUCUCUCAAUCUACAGAAGAAGAACAUGGUUCCUCCUCCAGGAAGUCCUCCUGUUGUCCCAGCACAGGGCCUGUUACUGUCUGUUUCCUUGGCUCCCUCUCCCAUGAAACUGGGAGUGCCUGGAAGGAAAGGCCUUUUUGACUCAUCCCCAAAUCUGCAUUGCA